RNAcentral lists this RNase P RNA (461 nucleotides) under Rhodocyclaceae bacterium. RNAcentral describes it as "RNase P RNA component class A". It matches the Rfam family "Bacterial RNase P class A". From Rfam's summary of the family: Ribonuclease P (RNase P) is a ubiquitous endoribonuclease, found in archaea, bacteria and eukarya as well as chloroplasts and mitochondria. Its best characterised activity is the generation of mature 5'-ends of tRNAs by cleaving the 5'-leader elements of precursor-tRNAs. The record is from RNAcentral. Lineage: Bacteria; Pseudomonadati; Pseudomonadota; Betaproteobacteria; Rhodocyclales; Rhodocyclaceae.
GAAGUCCGCCAGGCAGCCGCUGGACAAAACAUCGUCUGGAGGAAAGUCCGGGCCCCAUAGAGCAGGAUGCCGGCUAACGGCCGGGCACCGUGAGGUGACAGACAGUGCAACAGAAACAUACCGCCGAUGGCCACCCCGACUUUGCCGCCGCAAGGCGGCAAAGUCUCGCUCUUGAGUGAGCAGGGGCGGAUCAGGUAAGGGUGAAAUCGUGGCCUGUCGCAAGACAGGACAAAUCGCGCAGGCGAUUUGCGGUAAGAGCGCACGGUCGUACUGGUAACAGUUACGACGGGCAAACCUCAUCCGGGGCAAGGCCAAAUAGGGGAGCAUUGACGUUGCUCGCGUCGCUCCCGGGUAGGCUGCUAGAGAUUACCGGCGACGGUAGUCGACGAGGCCGUCAGCAAUGGCGGUCCCAGAGGAAUGGCUGCCCACGACAGAACCCGGCUUAUCGGCGGACUUCCACC